Molecule: RNA transcript, 3047 nt
Organism: Eucalyptus grandis
Lineage: Eukaryota; Viridiplantae; Streptophyta; Magnoliopsida; Myrtales; Myrtaceae
Gene name: EG45-like domain containing protein
Exons: 8
Source: RefSeq, a predicted model, not a curated record
GAACUACCCAGAAACAGUUACUUCCGUCCAGUUCUCGAAUUGGAUUAGGAUUGACGCCCUAUCGGACUCGAGAGAUCGGAACUGGGCUAUCCCGACGAAGAAUAGCAAAAGCCUCGUCUCCAAACAGGCUUCGGUCGGCUGGCGCCGAUCAUCCGGCUCCGGAAGCCGGUCUCCCGCCUCGGCUCGGCUAUGUUGACUCGCCGCUCCUAGUCGUCGUCGUCGUCGUCGUCGUCGCUUCAAGGAGAACAAAGCACCCCACCUUCGACGCUCGAGAUUCGCCAUCAAAGCCUUCUAAAAAAUCCUCAAGCUCCCCUCGCUAGCUCGGCCAUGUUCGGUGCUCGCGACGCCUUCGCCGCGUGAUCUUCAGCUGCUACGGCGAUUCCCCCCGCCGGCUCCGGAGAGAUGAUGAUGCGUCUUUUCACGACACAAUCAGAAUAUGCUGAUCGACUUGCUGCUGCUGUUGAAGCCGAGACUCAUUGUACAAGUCAAAUGUGGAACUAAUUGAUCAGAUAAGCAUGCAACAAAGCCGUAUUAUGCGCCUAGAAGGUGUGAUAAUUUGCUUGUAAGCAUGUGUUUCCAUCAUGAUGUUUCUGUAGAGGACUGGAACUAUAUGGAUUGUAUGCAAGCCUGCAGCAUAUGAAUCUUUUAGUAUUUGCCUGGCUCGUGCAUCGGGAAAAUCGCAUUCUGCAUAUUCGGAAUCUGUCAGUUUGGGGUUUGAUCGCAAUUGUUGUGAUCCAAUGCUUUACUUGUAGAAAUUGAAAAUUUUACUGAGCGACUAAAACUGAAGGAGAUGAAUUCAUUCUCUGCUGUGAAGUCUAGUCCUUGACCUCUCUUUGAUGUUGGAAGAAUCCUGUUUACCAUUCAUCCUGCUCAAUCUGCAAUUUAUUUGUUUUUGAAUGUGCCUUGAUCUAUUUGCUUCACCCACUUGGUGCCUUCAACUCAGAGGUUAAGAAAUGACAAGAUGAAGAAUAUGAUGAAGGCUCUUGUUCAAGAUCUUGAAUGUGUGUUAGCUAGUAUUUCUACUCCAUUUGUUAAUACUUGUUUCUCACAUUUCGACAUGCUCAUUCUAGUUGUGAUCCAGUGGGUGAUUUUAAACUGUAAAUGUUAUGAAGGUCCUUUGACUAUUAGUCUAUCUUACCAAUUUAGUCAUAUUUUGAUGGCCUUUUAAGAAUUAUGAAAUGUUUGCAAUACAAAACAUUUCUUAUUCUGACUGGGGAAGAUUGUUAACCAAUACACUUAUUGAUUUAUGUAAAAGUUAUUGUUAAUUUCGUCACAUUUGAAAAAAUUCCCAAUUUUCUUGGCCUAUCUUCAUUCAAUCCAUGUCCCAAACAAAGCAUAAAGGAUCACAGUAGGUGGAAAUGUACAAUGUUUCGCUCUAAACAAUGAAAAGUAGAAACGAAAAAAGCUUACUGAGCCAUCUUAGGUAUAUAUCCUCCUGUUGAAAAAAUGAAAUGGAGUGACUCCAUUAAUUUUGAAUCAAUCUCCUCAAGGAAUCUUAGUGGGUUUUUAUUGUGUUAAUUGCUUGAGGAUCUAUCAGUCUGUUUCAUUGCGUAUCCCACUCUUAUGUUAAAACUAUGCACAUAUGGAAUACUGGUUUUGCUGGUGGAACGUUCUAAGUGCUUCUAAAGUUCCUGUUUUGCUAAUGUUGCAGUUAAAGGCCUUCAAGGACGGAUGGACAAAAUACAGGUUUUCUCCUGACAAUAAUAUGUCAUUUAUCUUCUCUAAUUUACAAGUCCAGUUUUGUCAGUCUUACUUGAUGAUAACUUUUCGUUUGAUAUAUCAGACCCAUGCGGCAGCAGUGGUGAUCACGGCAUGUAACCACGCUGAUUAUCUUGAGAGGACCAUUAUGUCUAUCUUGAAGUACAGUGUGAAGUCUUUUUGGUUUAUGAGAGCUCAAGGCACUUUGCUCAUAUCGGUUCUUCCAUUAUUGGAUUCUCCUCAUUUUCCAGACAUCAGAAUGCUGUUGCUUGAAGGAUAGGUCUGAUCCACAAGUUAGAAAGAAGGCCUUGAUAUAUGAUCAGUUAACCUACAUGCAGGGAUUUUAGUACGUACCUGUAUAUCUAGAAAAGUACAGGUGUACAGUGCAACAUUUGGAUUCUAAGCCGGUGCAAACUGAAAGGCCUCGGGAGUUGAUUGCAUACUGUAAAAAAUCGCACCAACAGCAGCAGCAGCAGCAGCUCUUCCUCAGCUUCCUCCUCCUCUUCGUGGUGUUGGCGAUCAUCUCUGGGGCCGACGCCGACGUCGGCACGGCUGCUUAUUACAGCUCUCCGUACACGCCGACGGAAUGCUAUAGAGAUGACCCGUCCCAGCUUCCUCCGGGCAACCUGUUCGCGGCGGCGGGCGGCGAUCUGUGGAAUAACGGGGCGGCCUGCGGCCGGGUGUACGCGGUGCGGUGCGUCGCCGCGUCGCCGUCCGUCCCUUCCAGCUGCGGGAGCGAUGGCCUAAUCCAGGUCAAGAUCAUCGACAACGCCCUCUCGGCCAAUUCCUCGGCGGCGGCGCACAAGCAGUCCGUGACCGGCGCCACGUUGGUCCUGUCCGAGGAGGCGUUCGUUCUAAUCGCUAAGCCGUUCGCGGAUUCCGUCGCCAUCGAAUUCCAAUGAAUAGCACCUACCGUUGGCCUUUCUGGGAUUGCAAGUGUAGCUGAUCAGAAGACGGUCCAAAGGCCGAUUUUGUUGUAGGGAGUAUCCAUCCUGAUUCUGACGUUGCUGAUAAUAUCAUCUGGAGAUCUUCUGCUACCAUAGAUGUGGAUUCCAUUGAAAUCGUUUAGAUAUAGGAAGCUGCCGCAUGUUUCUUUUAGUUGCGAUCCAAGUUCAACCGCAACUCUUUUUCUAGUUCAUGCAUGAACAGAGAACUAGCUGGAUAUUUUCGUGGGAAGAAGAGACUUAGUAGUAUAAUAUCCUACAUCACCAGGUCUGUUGAAAUCAUAAGUUGAUUUAACCUCUUUUGUAAACUGUAUACCUACUUGAUUGCUAACGUCCAGUUGGUUCUUUUAAUUGUAAUUAUCCACUUUCUAAUGAAGAGAGGUUUUCUAGAUUUCAUUUAAAGCA